Molecule: small nuclear RNA, 104 nt
Organism: Jaculus jaculus (lesser Egyptian jerboa)
Lineage: Eukaryota; Metazoa; Chordata; Mammalia; Rodentia; Dipodidae
Source: Ensembl
GUGCCCACUUCAGCAGCACAUAUACUAAAAUUGGAAUAGUAGAAAGAUUUAGCAUGACCCUGUGCAAGGAUGACAUGCAAAUUUGUCAAGCGUUCCAUUUUUUU